CAUUAUCUUCAUUCUCAUUUCUUGAUCGUCGCAUCGAUCCGCGGUUUCUUGCAAAUUUUUUGGCUAUUUCGUUCGACGAUCGGUAAAAUCCUAUAUUCAUGUCUCAUCAGGCGAUUUCCGCCGAAGGAGAAGAUGAAGCUAUACUCUUACGGGAAAAGCUCAUGCGCCCAUUGCGUUCGAAUCACUCUCAAUUUCAAAGGGCUUGAUUACGAGUAUAUUCCCGUCUAUUUGCUCAUAAGUGACCAACACAACCCAGAGUUCAAGAAGGUCAAUCCGAUUGGUUUCAUACCAGCACUGGCCGAUGGAGAUGUCGUAGUUUCUGAUUUUCUUGCCAUUGCUAGAGAGGGCAAAACAUCAACUGAGGCGAAGAUUGACUUUUUGCUUUACUAAACAGGAAGAGACUUAGCGAGAGGAGAAGCCAACAUUAGAAGAUAUCUCCAUGAUAUUAUCAAGGCUAAUCUAAAAAAAAAAUGCAAUGCAUGGAAAGAAUUGAUGGGUCUGGACAGCUAUUGAAGAAUAUUUGAAUAGAAAUACAUAAUCUUAAUGCAAAGGGUGCAAGGACUUAAAGUCAUAAUAGACGAUGCAAUUGAAGUAGAUAAGAGACUGCAUGAACAAUGAUUCUUCAUUCGGGUUUUCUUCAACGGACACAGACUUUGUUGUUAGAACCGAAUCUCUAAUGGAAGACUGCAAGAACAAGGAGACAAAAUCUAAUGGAAGACUGUUUGUUUUGGCAAGAAUAUUCGAAUAAUGAUAAUCGAAGGAUUGACGGUUCGGUCAUUCGUAGCAGACGAGUGGAGUGAUUGAAAAGAUAUUGGCAUUUUUCUUGAUGGACGAAGAGAUGUAUAGUCGCAUGUUUUGCUUAGAGUAUCUUUCUCCAAUCGUUGCGUGCUAGAUCACUCUUUAGCAUUAGUUUUAUGGGUUAUGAGACUAUUGAUAUGUGAUUUUAUGAUUGU
This is a long non-coding RNA of Tarenaya hassleriana, 953 nucleotides long. RefSeq lists it as uncharacterized. Lineage: Eukaryota; Viridiplantae; Streptophyta; Magnoliopsida; Brassicales; Cleomaceae. The transcript has 6 exons. The record is from RefSeq and is a predicted model, not a curated record.